RNAcentral lists this long non-coding RNA (1349 nucleotides) under Gallus gallus (chicken). RNAcentral's name for it is "lncRNA (ENSGALG00010023629.1)". Lineage: Eukaryota; Metazoa; Chordata; Aves; Galliformes; Phasianidae. The record is from RNAcentral.
UGAAGCAUAGCGCAGUAUCUCUCUGGUAACAUACAUUGUGUAUGGAAUUGAGCGUAAAGGGAAAUGAGAUGAACUUUGUACAGCUCACCUUAAUUAAGUCGUGUCCUGAUGGAAAUUAAUUUGAAUGUUAAUAGCAUGUAUAAAUGUUGUCUGAGCUUUCUCUCAGUGCCCACUUCAAGCCACUUGCACCGUCCCGGGUCUGUCAGUUCUGGGUGUUCACAUACAUUCUCCUAUUCAUCCAGCUGGCCGUCACUUUGUAUCUUGCAAGUGAUUAACAGCAAAUUCUAUGGACAAUAAGAGUUACAUCUUAGCACCUUUCCAAACAUCUGCCAGCCAGCACACCACGCUUCAGCCCCACCACAGGCUUCUGAAUUUCACGCUAUUUCAGGGGGUUCCACUGUGUUUUAUUAAAUUAAGACUGUGGAGCACCAUGUUUUUGCUGGCCCCUAGUUUUACUUUGGUUUGUAGUCCUCCUGAGCAGUGAAGGUCUGCAUGUUUGUUCCAACAAGACUUAUUUUUCUUAAUAAAUAAAUAAAUAAAUCAAAAUAAGUGGAGUUAAUUCAGUGGAGACGUACACGGGACACAACCCACAGCUUCUCCCUGAGUACGUUACGGUGUAUCGCGUACCCUCACCAGGAUCUCUCACCUCACUCUGCACAUUCAGAUCUGCCUUCUUUUCACAUCUGACGCUGCUGAUGGCUGUGAAAACGUAUCUGUGACAACGUGCCAUAAAAACAUUCACUGUUCCGCCAUCAGAAGAAAUAAAAAUGAGUGUAGUCCAAACUUCUGGAUUUUAAAUUAAGAAUGUAAAGUGAAUUUCAGCACUGAAGUGUUCACAGAGCACCUGCCUCCAUGACUGGUCGUAACUAAAAUUGUACCGGAAGUCUUCCACAUUUAUAAGACACGUGAAUGGAAUCCUGAGCAACACCGUAGAGAAGUGUUUGCAAAGCUUCAAGAUUCUCUGGUUGGUGAUAUUCUUGCCUGCGUCAUUAACUCAUGUGGGCAUUUAUCACAUCACUACUCCCAUGUUUCCACUGCCUUCUGUAGUCACGAUUUCUCUGAGAUACAAAGAUUUUACAGGUUUAACAAACUUUUUUUUUCUUUUUUUUUUUUUCUUUUGUUCGGAAUUGGGGCGAUGGAAAGCGGAGCGGAGACGCACCCAGCGGGGGCCUCUGGAAACCGUUAAGGCCGGCGACGUUCUUCGGAGGGGAGACGCUCUAUCGCGCCGGUCGCGUCGGAUGCAAAGCGACCCGUUUGAAUUGGCACAAUUACUUAACUUAUCGAUGAAUCCCACAGUGCGGCGAGAAGGAGAAGCGCGUAACAAACUGUACUUUAAAGUGUAAUUUAAG